Molecule: long non-coding RNA, 504 nt
Filed under: Apteryx owenii (little spotted kiwi)
Lineage: Eukaryota; Metazoa; Chordata; Aves; Apterygiformes; Apterygidae
Description: lncRNA (ENSAOWG00000016105.1)
Source: RNAcentral
ACAUAAAGUUGUAGAAAAGAUCAGCGUAGAAAAACAGGAUCCUGAGUUCUGAUCUCUGCCUGAUCUUGACUUGCAAGGAAUUCCUUCCAAGAUCCUCUUAAUUUAACUGCUGAUGGUUUGAGAAGUUAGAAUUACCUGUAAUCAUCAGGAAAACCAGCGGUCUUGAAUGUGUGAAAAUGACAACCACCUACUUACAAGUUUGCUACUGAACAGCCUAGAGCAGGAGUUGGAGUGACUCAGAGCAGGAAAAGCUGUGCAGCAUUCUCUCCGUGCAUGAAUUUGCAGAGAUAAUGAGCCUCAUUCUGGUCUUCUGAGUUUAGCUCCGCUGAUUUCAUGGUUUCCACUGGUGCAAAUCAGAUCUGGGCUGAUGUCUCUGACUACACCCAGGAGAAGAAAACUCUGUCGUGUCUCCAUGUUAAAAUGAGUGGAAAUUGAACUUAGGGGGAUUUAGCAUGUGAUUACUUUUUUUAGACAGGAUUUUCUUCUUAGCUGAAUUGGAUUGUG